UGAUGAAGGCUUUCGGGUCGUAAAACUCUGUCCUAAGGGAAGAAAGAAAUGACGGUACCUUAGGAGGAAGCCCCGGCUAACUACGUGCCAGCAGCCGCGGUAAUACGUAGGGGGCAAGCGUUAUCCGGAAUUAUUGGGCGUAAAGAGUGCGUAGGUGGUUCUACAAGCCUUGGGUGAAAGGCUACGGCUCAACCGUAGUAAGCCUUGGGAACUGUAGGACUUGAGUGCAGGAGAGGAGAGCGGAAUUCCUAGUGUAGCGGUGAAAUGCGUAGAUAUUAGGAGGAACACCAGUGGCGAAGGCGGCUCUCUGGACUGUAACUGACGCUGAGGCACGAAAGCGUGGGGAGCGAACAGGAUUAGAUACCCUGGUAGUCCACGCCGUAAACGAUGAGUACUAGGUGUCGGGGUCGCGAGGCUUCGGUGCCGUAGCUAACGCAUUAAGUACUCCGC
RNAcentral lists this ribosomal RNA (450 nucleotides) under uncultured Bacillota bacterium. RNAcentral describes it as "bacterial SSU rRNA". It matches the Rfam family "Bacterial small subunit ribosomal RNA", at positions 406 to 872 of the family's 1533-position model. Lineage: Bacteria; Bacillati; Bacillota. The record is from RNAcentral.